GACGAACGCUGGCGGCGUGCCUAAUACAUGCAAGUUGAGCGAUGAAGAUUGUUGCUUGCACCAAUUUGAAGAGCAGCGAACGGGUGAGUAACGCGUGGUGAAUCUGCCUUUGAGCUGUGGACAACAUUUGGAAACGAAUGCUAAUACCGCAUAACAACUUUAAACAUAAGUUUUAAGUUUGAAAGAUGCAAUUGCAUCACUCAAAGAUGAUCCUGCGUUGUAUUAGCUAGUUGGUGAGGUAAAGGCUCACCAAGGCGAUGAUACAUAGCCGACCUGAGAGGGUGGUCGGCCACAUUGGGACUGAGACACGGCACAAACUCCAACGGGAGGCAGCAGUAGGGAGGCUUAGGCAAUGGACGAAAGUCAGACCGAACAAAGCCGCGUGAGGGAAGAAGGUGUUCGGAUCGUAAAACUAUGUUGGUAGAGAAGAGCGGUGGGGAGAGUGGGAAGCUCAUCAAGUGAAGGUAAGUACCCAGAGAGGGACGGCUAACUAAGUG
This 497-nucleotide ribosomal RNA is filed under the name uncultured bacterium. RNAcentral's name for it is "partial 16S ribosomal RNA". It matches the Rfam family "Bacterial small subunit ribosomal RNA", at positions 28 to 507 of the family's 1533-position model. The record is from RNAcentral.